Molecule: long non-coding RNA, 626 nt
Organism: Callithrix jacchus (white-tufted-ear marmoset)
Lineage: Eukaryota; Metazoa; Chordata; Mammalia; Primates; Cebidae
Source: RefSeq, a predicted model, not a curated record
GAGCAGAGCCUGCCUUCUGCGCGCGCCCGACUCCGCUGCUCCCUCCCCCUCCGGCCUCCGAGAGGUGGGGGCUGGGAGGCGUCCCCCGUCCCCGUCCCCUCCUCCUCCCCACCGUGCACCGAAAGAUGAACUGGCGAGAGGUCUGUUUUGCCUGAACCCAUCAACAACUGGGAGAUUAAUCAACCACACUGAAAAUGUGGAGGGAUAUAUGAGGGAGGGGGUUGACAUGUAGAUGUUUGAAACAAACGUGUAUAAAUAAAAGAAUUGUUGAUAAUGUAGUUAUUGACCUGGAGACUGGUAGCUUAUUGAAGAAACUCCAUGUUACUCGUUCCGGGAGUUGGGGGUUUCUGUAGGCACUUAAUUUCUCCACUUUCAAGAGCUUGGGCUUGGCCCAAAUCUUAGACUGCCCAAUCCUGUCUCUAUUACAAAUUUAAAUCUAUGGCUUGAACCUGUGCAUUGAAAAUCAGAUCUAUUCCCUUUAAAAAGAAGGAGGAGGAGAAGAAGAAGCAAAAACACUUAUUAGAAGCCCUAGCCAUUUUUGUUUGUUUUCUGUUUUGUUGCAGUCCAUUGAAGACUUUGAACAUGCCACCUUAAUAAAUGUAUUAAAAUUGAAAAAAGAAGUUAAA